RNAcentral lists this long non-coding RNA (1252 nucleotides) under Dromaius novaehollandiae (emu). Its description in RNAcentral is "lncRNA (ENSDNVG00000018456.1)". The record is from RNAcentral. Lineage: Eukaryota; Metazoa; Chordata; Aves; Casuariiformes; Dromaiidae.
AUUGCUUUCAAGUAGUAUUAAGCACCGUGUGUUAAUAGAUUCAGGCUACUGAUUAAAAAAAUAACUGCACAAAAAUCUAAUUGCUGCAACCGGCAAGUAUUGUGGUAUUAGUGCAUUAUAGUUGGUUAUUGCAAUUUUAACAGCAGUUGUAAUUAUAACUUGCUAUUUGAUGUAUUUUGUUGAAAUAGGAGAAAAAAGAAAGAUGCCAAUAUUUUGGAGAUCCCGUCAAUUCCAAAUCCUUUUCCUGAGCUGUGUUGCUCUCCAUUUGCAUCAGUUUUGUCAGCCAGCCUGUUGCCCAAGGCAACUUCAAGAAAAAAACAGAGGGAGCACUGGGAGCUGGGAGAAGGGAAAGAAGAAGUAAGCAGUGAGCAUAUUGAGAGUGUGCAGACUUGCAGCUCAACUGACUUGUUCCCAAUGGACGUUUCAUGGAGGUGAUCCACUGGAGCUCAUGUUACAGUAUCACACCCAUGUUCAGGAAGGUGGAACUUGGAGAAGUAUCACAAAGGGGAGUGGGCUUAUAUAUUUAAUUUUCUCCACUUUGUGGAUUGUAUAAUUCAUUCUGUAAGAAAUCAUCAAGUUCAAUAUUCUUGGAAGAAAUGUAGGGGGAUUGGGUACUUUUGGCAUAAAUAAUAUUAUACUUAUGGAUAUUCAGAUAAACUGGAUUAUAUGCUCCAGGAUGAAAGAUUUAUAUCUGAAAAGUCCCCCAAAAGUUCCCCUCAUGUCCAACACUGUGCAGUCAAGCAGCUGCAUGAUGGGAAAUGUUGCCUUUCGCUGAAGAAUCAAUCACUUGCUGUUGUUAAAUGUAGUAUGUGAACUCAUGUGUGGAAAAUACAAUUAUGUUUUGGUGUUUGUGUUCUCAAAGAAGUGACAAAGAACUGAAUAUAUAAAAUGCUUAGUGCAUUGUUUUAAUUUAUAAAAUGAGUAACUAGUACUUUUGUCUCUAAUUACUAACAAAAUGGAUAUUAGUGGAAUAAUAUGCUAAUUGUCAGAGAACAGACUCUAAUUUUCUUUAGUAUAGCUUCCAUUUUCUUUAGUCAAAUGAACUACAUACAGGUUAUUGUAGUUUUUAAAGCUUAGUUUUUAACAGUUUUCAUGAUAAUGAAGCAAGAAUCAUUUGCACUGGAGUGACAGUACUUUCCAUGCUCAAGGAUUAGCCAAAAAAUGUUUCACUACAAAAGUAGUUCAAGGUAAUUAGUGCCUUGUUUCUUUAAAUCCAAUUAGAAGUGCAAAAAUAAAUCUCAAGUGAAUCUCA